GCGGCGGAGCAUGCGGAUUAAUUCGAUGCAACGCGAAGAACCUUACCAAGGCUUGACAUACACCGGUAACGCCCAGAGGAUGGGUGCCCCUUUGUGGUCGGUGUACAGGUGGUGCAUGGUUGUCGUCAGCUCGUGUCGUGAGAUGUUGGGUUAAGUCCCGCAACGAGCGCAACCCUCGUCCUAUGUUGCCAGCGGGUCAUGCCGGGGACUCAUGGGAGACUGCCGGGGUCAACUCGGAGGAAGGUGGGGAUGACGUCAAAUCAUCAUGCCCCUUAUGUCUUGGGCUUCACGCAUGCUACAAUGGCCGGUACAAAGGGCUGCGAUACCGCGAGGUGGAGCGAAUCCCAGAAAGCCGGUCUCAGUUCGGAUUGGGGUCUGCAACUCGACUCCAUAAAGUUGGAAUCGCUAGUAAUCGCGGAUCAGCAUGCCCGCGGUCGAAUACGUUCCCGGGCCUU
Molecule: ribosomal RNA, 455 nt
Filed under: uncultured Curtobacterium sp.
Lineage: Bacteria; Bacillati; Actinomycetota; Actinomycetes; Micrococcales; Microbacteriaceae
Description: bacterial SSU rRNA
Rfam family: Bacterial small subunit ribosomal RNA
Source: RNAcentral